RNAcentral lists this ribosomal RNA (462 nucleotides) under uncultured bacterium. RNAcentral's name for it is "partial 16S ribosomal RNA". It matches the Rfam family "Bacterial small subunit ribosomal RNA", at positions 28 to 507 of the family's 1533-position model. The record is from RNAcentral.
GACGAACGCUGGCGGCGUGCUUAACACAUGCAAGUCGAGCGGAAAGGCCCUUCGGGGUACUCGAGCGGCGAACGGGUGAGUAACACGUGAGUAACCUGCCCUAGUCUUUGGGAUAACCCCGGGAAACCGGGGCUAAUACCGGAUAUGACCUGGUGCCGCAUGGUGUUGGGUUGAAAGUUUUUUCGGCCUGGGAUGGGCUCGCGGCCUAUCAGCUUGUUGGUGGGGUGAUGGCCUACCAAGGCGAGGACGGGUAGCCGGCCUGAGAGGGCGACCGGCCACACUGGGACUGAGACACGGCCCAGACUCCUACGGGAGGCAGCAGUGGGGAAUAUUGCACAAUGGGCGGAAGCCUGAUGCAGCGACGCCGUGUGAGGGAUGAAGGCCUUCGGGUUGUAAACCUCUUUCAGCAGGGACGAAGCGUGAGUGACGGUACCUGCAGAAGAAGCGCCGGCCAACUACGUG